GUUCAACCGAAGAAGUGCAUCGGAAACUGGGAAACUUGAGUGCAGAAGAGGACAGUGGAACUCCAUGUGUAGCGGUGAAAUGCGUAGAUAUAUGGAAGAACACCAGUGGCGAAGGCGGCUGUCUGGUCUGUAACUGACGCUGAGGCUCGAAAGUAUGGGUAGCAAACAGGAUUAGAUACCCUGGUAGUCCAUACCGUAAACGAUGAAUGCUAAGUGUUGGAGGGUUUCCGCCCUUCAGUGCUGCAGCUAACGCAUUAAGCAUUCCGCCUGGGGAGUACGGCCGCAAGGCUGAAACUCAAAGGAAUUGACGGGGGCCCGCACAAGCGGUGGAGCAUGUGGUUUAAUUCGAAGCUACGCGAAGAACCUUACCAGGUCUUGACAUACUAUGCAAAUCUAAGAGAUUAGACGUUCCCUUCGGGGACAUGGAUACAGGUGGUGCAUGGUUGUCGUCAGCUCGUGUCGUGAGAUGUUGGGUUAAGUCCCGCAACGAGCGCAACCCUUAUUAUCAGUUGCCAGCAUUAAGUUGGGCACUCUGGUGAGACUGCCGGUGACAAACCGGAGGAAGGUGGGGAUGACGUCAAAUCAUCAUGCCCCUUAUGACCUGGGCUACACACGUGCUACAAUGGAUGGUACAACG
RNAcentral lists this ribosomal RNA (637 nucleotides) under uncultured bacterium. RNAcentral describes it as "bacterial SSU rRNA". It matches the Rfam family "Bacterial small subunit ribosomal RNA", at positions 607 to 1244 of the family's 1533-position model. The record is from RNAcentral.